RNAcentral lists this ribosomal RNA (253 nucleotides) under uncultured bacterium. Its description in RNAcentral is "partial 16S ribosomal RNA". It matches the Rfam family "Bacterial small subunit ribosomal RNA", at positions 524 to 776 of the family's 1533-position model. The record is from RNAcentral.
UACGUAGGGUGCAAGCGUUAAUCGGAAUUACUGGGCGUAAAGCGUGCGCAGGCGGUUGUGCAAGACCGAUGUGAAAUCCCCGGGCUUAACCUGGGAAUGGCAUUGGUGACUGCACGGCUAGAGUGUGUCAGAGGGGGGUAGAAUUCCACGUGUAGCAGUGAAAUGCGUAGAGAUGUGGAGGAAUACCGAUGGCGAAGGCAGCCCCCUGGGCCAACACUGACGCUCAUGCACGAAAGCGUGGGGAGCAAACAGG